CAGCCGCCGCGGGAAUACGAAGGGGGCUAGCGUUGCUCGGAAUGACUGGGCGUAAAGGGCGCGUAGGCGGCGAUCAAAGUCAGGCGUGAAAUUCCUGGGCUCAACCUGGGGGCUGCGUUUGAUACUUGAUUGCUAGAGUGGGGAAGAGGGUCGUGGAAUUCCCAGUGUAGAGGUGAAAUUCGUAGAUAUAUGGAGGAACACCGGUGGCGAAAGCGGCUCUCUGGUCUGUAACUGACGCUGAGGCUCGAAAGCGUGGGGAGCAAACAGGAUUAGAUACCCCCGUAGUCCCUGUCUCUUAUAC
RNAcentral lists this ribosomal RNA (301 nucleotides) under uncultured bacterium. Its description in RNAcentral is "partial 16S ribosomal RNA". It matches the Rfam family "Bacterial small subunit ribosomal RNA", at positions 509 to 807 of the family's 1533-position model. The record is from RNAcentral.